UCCACCUGUUGAUAAAAGAAGGGAAUUGUUUCUUGAUCCAAAUGGUGGGUGCAAUAUAAAUUGCCACCUUGCUUUCUAUGUUACCUGUAUUUACAUCGCUUCCUUUGCAAGGAAUCAAGUGUUGGCCACAAUUCAAUUGGUUGCCUAUAUAGCUGGAAUGACAACAUUGCACUUAUUAUCAGAACGCUAAACCACCACAAAAUUGUUUUAAUAUAUCCAAGAUAGCCCAUACUUGUAGUGGGACACCUGAAGCAGCUGUUUGGGUAUUUCACCGUCUAGAUUGUUGUCUGCUAGAUUACUGCAAAUCGCAGAGAGUUAAGAUACAUCAUAUAAUGGAAUUGCUAUUCAAGUGGUGAUAUUUUGGGAAGUUGAUUUUAUCAGCAGAAAAAGGCCAACUUACAUAUCAUUCAGCGAUGGGAGAUUGGAUAGAGAGGUUGGAAUUUUACCACUUAAGUGAUUUUUGCUCAGGUCCCUGUUCAAGAUAUCACAUUAUUAUGGUUACUACGAUCAGCUGCUACAAUCUGAGUCAUGGUCUGACUUGUGUUAUCAACAAAACUCAGAAUUUGACUUACAGAUUUUGGAGUUUUGAAAGACGGCCAAGAGAGUCAGUUAUGUUGUUGCCGUCCAGCAAUCUAAGACCAAAAAUGUAACAAAGCAGAAAGUCUCCGAUUCGGGGUGACAAGACUCCAGAUAGCCCUGAUGAGCUCAAAGUUCUGCAAUUUUCAGAAAUGAGAAAUCAAGCAAAUGCGAUUACAAAGUUAUAAUGUUAUUUUUACUAGAAACAAACUUACAAUAGUACAAAUAUGAAAAAAAAAUAGCAUGAAAAAUGUGCUACGGAUGCAAAAAUAGCAUGAAAAAUGUGCUACGGAUGCGUAAAACUCUUUCCUGUGUUCAGUGGCUAAAAUUUACAUUUAGCAUAGCUGCAUAGGCAUAGCAACCUUGCCAAGAUGAAUUAAUGUGCACGAGGAAUUCUGUGUUCUGUGUUCAGACUUCAGAAUUCACCUGUUGUUUUUUUAAGCAAUGGAAGAAUGGAUUAAUGUGCAUGCUUUUCCCAGCUCCUAAACGAUGCAAUUUUAGCAAACAACUUCCUAUAUAUUAGUUUCUUUUGUACCCUUGAAUAAUUAUCACAAAUCAUUCAACUGUUCACCCAUUCAGCACAAAAGAACAAUUAUUUAAGAAGAAUGUAAGGUUAACUUACAUUGAAG
Oryza brachyantha (malo sina) is the source of this 1205-nucleotide long non-coding RNA. RefSeq lists it as uncharacterized. The transcript has 3 exons. NCBI's taxonomy places the organism in Eukaryota, Viridiplantae, Streptophyta, Magnoliopsida, Poales, Poaceae. The record is from RefSeq and is a predicted model, not a curated record.